CUGAAAGUCUGGGCUGCUAAGUACGGUCAGGAGCCCGUGUGUCUUAACCUAUGACAUAAGACAUCAUAGCACAGAAGAAAAGUAUGAGUCAGUACUUUGAAUGUACUAGUAUGCUAAGUGAGGUAGGCUGAUAUACAUGGGUUCAUAUGCACGAACAAUAACUGGCUGAGUAACAUAAACAUAACUAAAUGAGAGUACACGCAUGAAUACAUAAAUUGUAACUGAGGUCAUGAUAAUACUGAUACUGAGUUAUGAAUACUGAUUAAAUGAUAUUUGAGUUUACUGAUACUGUAAUACUGAUAGCUGUGUUGCUAUUUGUGAUAGUCCUACUUUUGUAGAACUGAUUUGAGUUCUAUACUGAACUGGGUGACUAUGUCUGACAGUCCUAAAUCUGUAGAGCUGAACUGAGUUCUAUACUGAGAGUAAAACUAAAACUAAAACUAUAACUGUGGGAGGUAAUCAUAUAACCGACAUGCCCCUCUUUGAAUCAAUUGGGGUCCACCCUGUAACCCCAGGUUGAAGGGUGUCAGUACCAUGCCAUGGGUAAAGACAAGAUGUGAGUUAAUCCUCUCUGACCGAAAGCCCUUUCGUCAACUCUUGCUGGCAGGAAAACUCGUACGAGAUAUAUCAACCCUAGUCUAGAAGGAAGAUAUCUCAACCUAUGCUAGCUAUAUAGUUUUGUAAUGCAGGGAUUGCUUUUAAGGGUCAAACCCUAUGCUGGUAGGAAUGCUCCAUCCCUUAGUUCGCUCGGUGCUGAAUCCUACUCCUAACUGAAUAGACACUGAACUGACUUCUAGACAAUACUAGGCUUGAUUGAACUAUUAUUGAUCGUACUGUCUAACUGAACUGAGUUCACUGGGUUCUGCUGACUGACAGAAUACUACUAAUUUUUGUUAACUGACCGAGUUUAUUGAGGUCUGAACUAAAUACUGAACUAAAACUGCGACUGAUUACUGAGUACUACUAUUCAUGACAUUACUGAGACUGUUCUAUACCUACUGUAGCUCUAGGUAAGCAGCUAGAUUUUUGGGUAUUGAAUACCUCCAGGACUCGAUAACAUGAAAAGUAAAGCAUAGCAUAAACUUGAAAAGCAUAACCAUGUGCACUUGUUCAUAACUCAUCCAUAGAGAUAUUUUAUCAAACACUUGUAAGUUAUAAACUUGCACAUAAGCUAGCAUGGCAUGAUUUUCCCCUUUUAGUUCACAUGAGCAAUUUAUCAAAUCACUUGGAGUACAUAAUCUAUGCACAUAAUACUAAACAACGCAUAAGCAUCAUAAUUUUAAAUUCCAAUUUACAAUUUCAAGGGUUUAACAUGAAUUCACAUGAUACUACACACAUGAUAAAUAAUUUCACAUGAAACUUGUAAUAAAUCAUGGAUUAGAAAUCCAAUUAACAUCAAAAUCAUGAAUACAUUCAAAGUCCAACAUGGAAUUCACAAAAUCAUCUAACUUGUAGUUUAAAAUAGUUUUUUGAACUCCAAGGGUGGAAGAAAACCCUUGGAUGAACACUUCACAUACCUUGGUACUUGAAUUAAUGAAGGUUGAUGGUGAAAUCCUUGGGACUUGAAUCUUGAAUUUGAUGGGUUAGGGUUUGAUCUUGAGAGACUUCGAGAGAAAAUGAGUGUAUUUUGCUUAUUGAGGGCUGAAUUUCGUGUUUUGGGGCUGAUUGAGGGUGGAAAAAUGACCCAAAUACCCUUAUGGAUGUGGAGUUUUAAUGACUAAAAAUAGGGCUAGUGACACAUAGCUCGAUGCACUGCAUUGAUGAGAACGAUGUGAUGGCCGACGCAUCGCGUCAAGUUCAUAUCAGCUCAUUAGAAAUUGGUACUGGGAGCCAAGGAAAAUAUUGAUCGACGCGAUGGGCAAUGCGACGCAUCAAGAUCUAGUUGAUACAUUAUUUUGGAUUUCCAAAACAUGGUUCAAACGAGCUCUAAAAGUUUUGAAACUCACCCAAAGUGACCUCUUGACAUUCCUGAUCAUGAGUCAAUCUAAAAAUCGAUAUUUUAAGGUCAUAAGGUUCGUGAAAUAGGAUUACCAACUUAUGAAGGCUAAAAUAACUCUAAGUACGAAUACUUCGCUAAAAUUUUCUAAGUCUAGACCCCUUAACAAGAUUUAAAGGAUUGAAUUAAACUUAGAAUUUUGUGGGAUCUUACACCUUACCAGUGAAGGUAGCCGAUGGUAAUGCGAUGCCUAGCCAUCACCUAAGCUUUAUUUUGAGAUACCUACUUAGUUUUGAGGUCCUUAAACCCCCCCAACCCCUCCCACAACGUCAAUACAUGAUCUACCAUCACCAAGAGGGUCCUAAAGAUAAUUUUAGAAGCAUUAAAAGAGUUUUAUAGGUAUGGGGGUCACAAUCGUACAGCCUAGAUGGUGACUCAUUCAAAUACUCAUAAAUUCUUAAUCUGAACUUGGAUUGACAAACGGUUGGAGACAUUGGAAAUAAGACUCAAAGUGAUUUAAAUUGAUAUAUAUUAGUCCACAUCAAUCAUUAUAUACUAAGAGUAAUAGUAGCUGAAAGUUUACCCAUGAAAAAUCAACAAUUCAUAAUCAAUCGAUAGGAAAGUGCUCAACUUAACUUUUGAGCUAGGAGAUUAUUAUGGUGUAUAUUCAUUUCCAAAAAUACUUCCACACUGAGGAAAUGUCAUUGACACUUAUAUCUUAGUAGAAACUAUUGGGUUCGGGUUUAUAAAUAUAGAAAAAAUAUGGUUCAACUUUGGCCCAAAAAAGUGGGGUGUUACAAUAUGACGCUUUCAAAAUAAAGAAAAAUGAGUCACUACAAAAAAUGAUAACUAGGUUAACUUCAUUGGUAAAUGAUUUAUCAUUUAUAGGAAAGGUUUUAUCUACUGAGGAAUAGGUAAAAAAGGUCUUCAGAGUCCUACCAGAGUCUAAGUAGGAUGUCAAAGUUACAAUCAUGGGAAGCUAAGGAUCUCACUAGAAUGUCCCUUGAUGAGUUAGAUGGUAAUUUGAAGACCUAUGAGAUGAACAUGGAAGAUUUAAAUAGGGAAUCUGAAAGUGAUGAAUUAGAUGAUGAAGAAGUUGAUGAAACUGCUUCACGCCAUUGGAGAUUCAAUCUUGGAAGAGGAAGAUGGUUCUUUUGAGGUAUGUAUUCUUAAGCUUAAGGAAAAAAUUGCAUUUAUUUCCUAAAACAAAACUUGUUUCCUUAAUGAGGGCUCUAAUUGAUAAUUUCCAAGAAUUAACUUCUGAUAGGGAUGAAUUAUACAAUAGUCUUGCAAGUCUCAAGUUUGACUUUAUUGAUCUAGAAGUUUGCAAGAACACUGUGGAAAAGGAAAAAUGCACUCUUAAGGAACAAGUUGGUCAACUUGAUUCUUCAAAUCUGAUUUUAAAAAUGAUAUCUUAAAACUGACUCUUUUUGAAAAAGGAAAAAAGUUCAAAAGUGAUGAACAAGAAAAUAUUAACCUUGAAUUGAUCAAGUCCAAACAAGAAUGUAGUGAUGAAAAGGAAAAAAUGAACAAAUUAAGCCAAGAAGUCUCUAAACCAAAACUUGAUCAUGAAGGUCAAACAGAUGGACAAAUUCCUCAAGAAUUGUUCAUCAACUCAAUGAAAAAACUCAUAGUGAAAGGGCUAGAUUGGCUUUUUUCAAGAGCUCUAAUAUUACUAAGGACUUAUGUUAUAUAUUGGUAAUAAUGGAAAUCUAACUACUGAAUGUCCAGUUGCUGUUAAAAGUAGAGAAAGGAGCACUAAUUUUGUAAAGAAAUCUGACUUCUUGGUAGUACAGAAAAAUAGAAUGAAAAGCAUAAUUGGCCAGAGAAACAGAUCACACAACUUGUUACCUCGAUGAGCUAGGUGAAAUCUGAUUCACCCUUUUACUCAUCUGGGUUCCUAAGUUAACCCCUAAUUUAUUUUGUAGGUAAAAGUGAAAGGAGUUAAGCAAAAUUAGUACAUGGAUAGAUCUUGCUCAAGGCAUAAGAUUGAAAGCAGAUAAAGUUCCUUUAACUCAUCAUAUUUAAAGGAGUAAUUGAUCUUUUUGAGAUGGCAAAAUGAGCACCAUUAAUAGAGUUAUAAAAAAUUUGGGAGAACUAAAAAAAAAGACUUCGAAAGAUGGACAGAUUUGUAGUGCUUAUAUAAGAGGGAAGCAAGAGAGAUCGUCUUUCAAAACAAAGAGUCAUAUAAGUACGACCAAGUGCUUGGACCUGGUCCAUAUGAAUCUUUGUAGACCAAUAAGGGUAAUAAAUAAGAAAGUUAAGAGGAACAUAUCGUACCACCUGGUCCAACGAGGACAUAUUGAUAGGGGGAACAAUAAAUCAAGAAAUUGAUUCAUCAAUAAGACCAACACAAACCGUUGAUAAUUUUGUUGGUAGUUCAUUGAUAUUGUCAAAAGAAUCUUCAUAUAUCUCAUGGGAAUCAAUGACUCGAGACUAUGGUAUAUAAAAGAAAGCAAUUUCGCUCUUGUGGGCUAUAAAAAUGUUGACUAUGUGGGUUACUUAAUUGAGUGAAGAAGCACCAAAGGUACUAAGUAGAAAACACUUUGCAAGGAAUAGGUUAGACUUGGGGAUGAUUAAAAUUGCAUGAACUCCCCUUAAUGAUUGACUAGGAUAACCAUUUUAUUUUUAAUCUUAUUAGCUAAAAUAUUAUUCGAUUCAAUCUUGCACAUUUAGCGGUGCGUCCCAAUUCUAGAUUUUUGACUCUUCUAACCUAAUUUUGUAUUAGAUUGUGCAGAAAAUAGGUACAAACAAGCAAUUGUGACCACAAAGUUCUUCUUAUCAGGUAUGUUCUACACUGACAUAAGCAUAGGAUGUGUAAGUUGAAACAGUUGAGCACACCUGUUCAAUUUCUCACACUUCAUCCCCCCUUGUCCUAUAAAGCUAACGAAUUGGUUGACCAAACUUUCUUUGAUUCUCUCCAAAUGGUUGUGCACAAAUAUUUUAAUCCUACACAAGAAAUUCUUUCUUCUCUCAACCAAAAUAUUAGUUUUUAUUCCAUUGAUUUGCCAAGCUUGAUCAUAAAUCUCAUGCAACAUAUGUAUCUGAAGAUUGAAAAAGGACAUGCUCUUCCUUUUAGUUUCUUGAAAAAGGAGAUGCUCUUCCUUUUAGUUUCUAAUUGGCUCAAAGUUUUUUAGGACUUCUCAGUCCUAGUUCAUAUUUGACUUUUCAAACAACAAAGAAUGUUCUUGAACAGAUGAAUCAUGCUGCUCUACUUGUUUCAAUAAGGAGGGCUAACAUUCAUUUUUUUAAAAAAAAGGAAAAUACUUUAGCUGAGAAAAUUUCUGAACUAGAAGCUACACAAGACAUCCAUGAAGUAGAAUAAGAGGUCCUUCAUUUGAAGCUUGACCUUGAUUGAGAGAGGGCUAAAAAUGUUGCUCCUCACUAUUCAUAUCCUUAAACAUGUCCCACUUUUAUACCAGAUUCUUUUUUGAUUAAUGCUCAGUUGUUUUGCUUUGUUUAGUUCUAGUUUAGAUUUAAUGUGGACUAUGCUCUCGCAUAUUAAUAGAAUGGUUAUAUUUUCUUAAUUGAUUCAUGUUCUUUCUCUCUUUAAUACAUUACUAUAUUGGCUAGAGUCUUUGUCUGAUUGUUUUGGUGAUAGCCCAAGUGUCCACAAAUAGCGUAACUAAUUACUUUGACAAGUUUAUUUUUGCAUUGAAGUGGUUUUUUUAUGAUGCUAAUAGAGUGAAUAUAAGGGUUGUGCAAUGUUUAUAAUCCAUUGACUAACCUAUUUUAUUCUAGUGUUUCAUACUUCAGUACCUACUGGUAAAGAUGUUUCAAUGCACAAAGACAAGAGGUUUAUCAUCAUCAAAAAGGGGGAAUUUGUUGGAACCUUGAAGUUUUGAUGAAUGAAAAUAUGAAUGAAACAAUUUGAUAUACGUGUUCCACUAUCCAACAAGUUCAAGAGUGCAAGUCCACGGUAUAAAUAAUUGAGACUCAUAAUUAGUUAAAUUGGUGCAACUGGAAAAUUCAACUAACUGAUCACGUGGGGAAUAGAACAAGUUGAAUUUGAUUCAAACACUUGAUCAUAAGAGAAAGAAAAUUGAGUUGAAAAAGGAGUCCUAUGUGAAGGAGUUUCACUUCUCCUGAAGAGUCCUAUGUGUAGAAAGAGAAAGAUUCUGAAAUUUAAAGAAGUGGUGUUUGAGCUCAACACGUGAUGACAAGUGAAAGAAAGAGUUCCACUUAGAUAAGGAGUUUGACUUAAAUAAGGACUUUGACUUAACAACAAACUUUGAUUAGUUGAAGAGUCCAAUUGAAGAUAGAAGAUUGAUGACAUGAUGGACUCUUUGAAGAGUUGCUGUUAAACAAAGAAAGUGAUUAACAUAAUCAUUUAUGCACUUAAAAAAGAAGAAAAGGGCAAUUGAUAGAUUGACUUUAUGAAGUGCUACCCAAUCACCGAAGAAACACAUUGAAGAACCUGGUCCUAAUAUAGAAUAUGACUAAGAGUUUUAGCGUUGAUUGUUAGGAAUUAUUCAUUGUGUUGAACUGUUGAUGUAAUAUUAGUUUUAAUGUGUUAUAAACUAAACUAGGAGCUAGUCUUUGAGUUUGGGAAAAGUCAGAGACUUUGGGAACACAUACCUUGGAUGGUGUGUGUAGCUAGGAAUUAGAGUCUAUAAUUCCUAGUUGUUGAGUUAUAGAAAUUAGAGUUUAUAAUUCCUAGGUUACAUGAGUUUUGUAAUCAGUUGUUGUUGAGGAUCAUUGUUGUGUAGUAAAGUUGGGGUUAAAUCCUGUAGAGGUACAGGUCAUGAUUUUUUACUCCUUUUUGAGCCGGGUGUUUUCUACGUAAAAAUCCAUUGUGUUAUUUUCUUAUUGUUGACGCGUUAGUCAACCAAAAACUAAGAUAAUCAGUAGGGUAACUCUAACAGUUGAAAUCUCCUCCUACCAUCCAAGGCGAUCCCAUGUUACUGACCAGGUAAUAUAAAUUGUCUCAUAACUCCAGUCUUUAUCCUUCAUCACACUAAACACAAAUAUAAGGUAUCCAUCAAAAUUUUCCAUUGCAUUAUAGCAUCAAUGAAGAUCCGUAUUUUACCAUUAGUAUUAGCAAUAGCUGACUCCAUCCAUAGUUUCAUUCUAUUUCUGCAGAUGUCUAUAAUCAUAUUAGGUUCCAUCAAGGCUACAAUAAAGCAUUUGCACCCUUUUUCUUCACUGACGAGUACCCGUUGUGUAUUAACAGACCUAAUAUUCCACAUUAGGGCCUUAAUAUGAUUUAUACUUUUAAGGUUACUGCUCUCUUAGGUAUAACCCUCUUACCUUGAAUAUUUUCUUAUUUUUUGCCUUCUUUACAUUUUUAGCUAAAGAUCUGGGUGAUAAAUCAACUUCUUUAACUAAUUUGAAAGUUUGUGUAAGUUAAUUUCAACUCCUAUUCCUCCUCCACAAGUUGUCCGUCCUCGUCUGUUAUUAAGGUGUCUCCUGUAUUUGUAUUUUAUUCUUCCCCUGUUGUUCUUUGUUUAUUGUCUCUCCUUGGACCUCUUUUUCAUUAGUGACAUUGUCAAAAAAUGCUUUCACCCAAGCUUUUGCACUUUCAUGGACAUUGGUUUAAAUUCUUUAAGCUGAGGGUCUUUCAGAAACAACCUCUAUACCUACCAAGGUAGAGGUAAGGUCUUCGUACACUAAACCCUCCCCAAACCCUCCCCAGACCUCACUUGUCGGACUAUAUUGGAUAUGUCAUCGUUGCUAUGGUUGGGAUUUCCUACUUUUCCUUGUUGUCUUUUAUAGGAUUCCAGUUUCCUACAUGUAUUAUCAUUAGAUCAUUCAAAGCAUGCUCAGCUUUGUAAGGAUUACAUCUCAAGAGCCCGACUGUGCUCUCUAAACACGCCUAAUGCUCAACAGCCAAAUCUUGUUCAACAAUUCCUGCUAGAGCAUCAGUAAUUCCAUUUUAACUACUUAUAUAUUUCGAAAAAGCAAUGAGACGAGGAAAUGAAGUUGGAUUUGACCGUGGAGCUCUAGAGAUACUCAAAAUUGAUGUAGUUCUUUACCCUUUGUUCUUAACAUGUGGAUUACCUGUCAAUUUUUGCAUAUUUGGGAAGUUUAUAAAUGAUCUGUAUGUAUCUUAUUUUAUAGAUAUGUUUUUCUCUCGAAAAAGAAAUAUUCUUAUCUUUUUAUUUUGUGUAUCUUCUACAUACUUAUCAAUUAUUACAAAAAUAUAUACUAAAAAAAACUUUUGACAUAAGGUACAUUACAAAAAUACCACUUUCAUAUUUGAAUAAAUAAUAAUUAUAUUACCUUUGAGAGUAAUUUUAGAGUUUAGUAAGCUGCAUUCUGUGUACCAUAUUACAACAAAAUAAUGACAGCUAAAAUUCAAAAGAGAUGCAAUUGUUGUAAUUCACUAAUGAAACAAAAAUCAAAAGGGGUAUAUACUUUCAAACUUUGAAUUCGUAAGUCCAUUGUAGUUACUCAAUGAGGGUGCUUGAUCGACUUAGAGAGAAAACAUAGUCUAUUUUUUUGAAGUUUGUUGUCUAAGAGAGAGAAUCUAAUCUUUUUCUGAUGUAUGUCAACUUAGAUGUAUGUCUAUUACAACAGGCGAGUCAAAUAUUGGCAACAAAUUAGGAAAAAGAAAUUACUGAAAUAUAAAAAUUUUGGUAGCAAAGCUGUCACUCAUUGCAACAUUAUCUAGAACUUACCAUUGCAAAAUUGGAAGACACAUAAAUGAAGGGGGAAGGUUCUAUCAUGAGCAGCCUAUAAAUAUACUGCAUAGUUAGUACUUAUUUCUAUCAUUUCUUACCUUGGAGAAAAAGUUUGUCAUUCAUACUUCGAAUAUGCAGAAUGCAAAUUUCCCCCCUUCAACUUUAAUACCUUCUCCUGUACUACUUCAUUGCCCUAUAUGCUAUGGAAUAUUUCAUACUCAUUUUGAAUUUAUGGAUCAUGUACAAGUUAUUCACCCAUCACUGUCUGAGAAAACAUCCAUCCUAGAUUCUCCUAUAUAUGCAUCCUAUAUUGUUUUGCCAGGCAAUCCGCCAUCAGCUCAACCUGUUUUCCCACAACAUGUGAGUUCGCAAGGAAAUAAUAGAGUUUUUGUCCAACCAACGGCAUCUUUGAAUCAUAACGAGCCUAUCAGAUGGGAUAGAGCACCACCAAUUGAUAGUCAACACAUGGCAAGAAGAAAUAGAGUUGCUAAUUUUACAAGACCUUUGAUCAAUCAAUUGAAUGCAGAUGAAUUAGUUAACAUAGCUGAAGAACAAACUGAUUUAGACCUGAAUUUGAGGCUUUAAUUAGAGAAAAGACUAUCUGGAUCUUCUUAAUAAGGGAAUGUCUAAAAAUGUGUUGAGUUAGGAGUCAUGUUUUUUAGUGCUUUUAAGUUUUUAUAUUUUUGUCCGACAGCGGGGUGUCUAAAAGGUUGAGUCUGUCGUUUUAUUUUAUUUUAUCUUAUUUUUUCUCAAGCAUGGUGAGCAUGUCUAGAAUUGUGCUUGGAUUGAAGUCUGUUGUUUUAUUUAUUUGUUAAAUAUUUUUCUUGAUUUAAAUAAUCCAAUCCAUUUAUUUGUGUGCAAAUAUUUCUUUGUUCCUUGUCGAGCAUAUUAAAAAUAAACAAAUUUUUUAUAGUUCAAAUAUAAUUUAUUUUACGUAUUAUUACAGAGCAAAUAUGUCAAGCUUUAGCCAUCAUAUUAUAUAUAUGACACGUCACUCGUUAUGCUAAAGCUUUUCCAACUUGUAAUUUUCACACCAUAAUUAUUUUUUUAUCAAAAUAUCAUUAUUUAAAGAUAUAACAAUAUUUUGUUUUCCUUAUUUUUUCUAUUCCUUUAUUUACUAAAUCUAUUUUAUAAAGCUGAAGAUAGUUUAGUAGGAUCCAUACUAUCUACAAGAUUACAAAAAUAUAGUCAUAAUCAAAAUACCAAAACAGAUCAGAUUGUUGUAAUUCAUUAAUGAAACUAAAAUCAUCAGGGACAUUUACUUUGAACUUUAAAUUCGUCCAUCGUAUUAAAUAUAGAUGAACAAAUGACAAUUUUUAUAGUUAUUCAAGGAGGUGUUUGAUCGACUCAGAGAGAAAGCAUAAACUUUUUGUAAAGUUAUUCAACUUAGAAAGAAAAUAUAAUUUUUUCCUGAAGGCCGUUGCAGCAGGUUAGUUAUAUACUAGUUAGAAGAAGCCCGUGUCCUAAAUGAAUAUUAUAAUAAUAAUCAUAUCAAUUAAUAUGACAACUUUUUAAUUUUGAAAUUUAAAUAAAUUUAUUUUCAGAGUUAUUUUUGCAUACAUUCUUAAAAUAUUUUAAAUUAUCAAUUAUUGUGAUUUAUCAUUCAAAUAUAUAAUUUUAUUUUAAAAAUUAAUUCACGAUCAAAAUUAAACUCUACAAAUGUAUAAAUUAAUAAAGAAUGUGAAAAGCAAAAUUCGAUGGGCCAAUACUACUGUACGGGAUAUAAUUUGUAGAGUCAAUCAUGUAUUUUAUAUCUUUUAAAUUUUUUAAGUUGUUAAUUAUUGUGAUUUAUAGUAUUUUUUACGUGUUUUUUUUAAAUAUAUAACAUAUUAAUUUUGUUUAGAUAUUUUAAGCAGGUAACUAUUGUAAUUUAUAGUACUUUUUAUGUAAUUUUAAAAUAAUAUAUGUUACUCUUCUUGUCCAAACUUUUGUGACAUUGAUAGUUAAUUAUAUUUUUUAAAUAAUUAAAAUUUUUAAUUAUUAUGAUUUAUAAAACUUUUUUUUUCUAUUCCAAUUUAAGUGGAAUAAUGCAUAGAUGACCAUAAUAAUUAAUUAGAGCUGAUAUAGUAAAAUUAUGAUUGAAAUAGCGAAGCAGACAUAUCUUAAAUGACUCACAACAACUAAUUAAAAGUGAUAUAAUAAAAUACUAUAAAAAAUACUUGUUAAAAAAAUUUAAGUAGUCUUCAUAUAAGACGUUAAGUUAAUUUAAAACAUCAAGACUUAACUUAUCAUUUUAUAUCUAUUUUACCUUUCAAACUAAAUAUUAAUUUUUUUAAUAUUUAGAUAACUUAUAAUAAUUAAUUAGGGUGAUAUUUAAUAAAAUUACGAUUGAAGCGGCUGAAACAAAUAUGUCAUAAUUAUUUAUUUUUUAAUAUGUAAAUAACUUAUAAUAAUUAAUUAUGGGUGAUAAUAUAAAAUCACGGAAGCAAACAUGUCAGCAGCCUAAACUCUCUCUUAUAUAAUAAGAGAAUAGACAAUGAUUUAGGAGAGCGAAACCACUAGUUUAUCAAUUUUGUUAGCAAAGUUGUUAUCACUGCAACAAUAUUUUGAACUUACCAUUGCAAAAGCGGAAAACACAUAGCGGAAAACCCGAAAAUAUGAAUCAAGAGAGUCUAAGUGUAAAUAAACAAAAGGGUGAAAUCUAAUACACUUCCCUAAUCGCUUCUGUUUCUCUAGAAUCCAGGUUUGUAGAUCUUUGGUGAAAUAACAGGGAAUGAAAAAGCAGUAACUAAAGAUAAUCAGUCUAGUGUUACACAUAGAAACUCCAAGUUUGCAGCUUCUAGAAACAGUUGCAAGCUACACGAGUACUAGUCUCCAAAUUUGCAUAAAAGUUACAUUAGUGUAGCAUGAGUACAGAAAAAAAUGUGUACCCAACAAGUAUCAUUAAUCAAACCAAUAAGGUGGCGGCAUUAGCAAUAGGUGCAGUCUGAUCUCUUGCCGUAGAUCCACUUGUCCGAUUAGAUUGUUGUAAUACACUAACAAAAACAUAAUCUUUUUUGAAGUCUGUUACCGCAACAUUUGGAAAAAGAGAUUACUAAAAUAUAAAAAUUUUGGUAGCAAAGCUGUCAAACAUUACGACAUUAUCUGGAACUUACCAUAGUGAAAGUGGAAGGCACAUAAAUGAAGGGGAAAGGUUACAGCAUGAACAACCUAUAAAUAUACUGCAUAGUUGGUACUUGAUCUCUACCAUUUCUUACAUUACAGAAAAAGUUUGUCAUUCAAACUUCAAAUAGGAAUAAUGCAAAUUUUUCUACUAUUGUUUUAGUACCUUCUCGUGUAUUACUUCAUUGCCCUGUAUGCUAUGGAAUUUUUCGUACUCAUUUAGAAUUCAUAGAUCAUAUAUGAGGUACUCACCCAUUAUCUGAGCAAACAACCAUCGUGCAUUCUCCUGUAUUUGCAUCCUAAAUUGUUUUGCCAGGAAAUCCGCCAUCAUCUCAACCUGUUGUACCACAACCUGUGAGUUUUCAGGAAAUGAUAGAGUUGUUGUCCAACCAGCAAAGUCUUUGAAUCGUAACGAGCCGACAAAAUGGGGCAGAGCACCACCAAUCGAUAGGCAACAAAUGGAAAGAAGCAUCAACCUUGGAGGUUCAAAUUCAACAUUUGCAGAUACAAAUGAUGCUACUGUAGAUUUUACAAGACCAUCGAUCAAUCAAUUAGAUGUUCCUAUUCCAUCAAAUACAUAUAAAAUAGUUAACGUAGCUGAAAAACAAAAUGAUUUGAACUUAAGCUUGAAGCUUUAAUUGAAGAAAAAAUUACGCUGAUCUUCUUUAUAAGGGGAUGUCUAACAAUGUUCUAAGUUUGGAGUCCUUUUUUUUCUAGUUUUAUUGUUAUAUGUUUGUCUGAUACUAGGGUGUCUAAAAGGGCGAGUCUGUCAUUUUAUUUUAUUUUAUUUUUUGUCAGACAUGGUGGGUGUCUAAAAUUGCAUUUUGAUUGGUGUCUGUUAUUUUUUAUUUAUUAAAAUAUUUGUCUUGAUUUAAAUAAUCCAAUCCAUUUAUUUGUGUGCAAAUAUUUUUUUGUCCUUGCUGAGUACAUUUUAAAAAACAAUAUUAUUAUAGUUCAAAUGUAGUUAAUUUCACCUAUUAUUACUAUGUUAAAAUGUCAAGUGAUAAGUCCCCGUAAAUUUUCAAUCAAUUUAUUUCAGAACCUCCCUUGUGCUAAAUGGUAAUUUUUGACUUGAAUCAUGAUAAGGAAUGUUAACGGGAUGUUUUGGGAGAGUUUCAGAAUUUCCGAAAAGCAUUCGGGGUCAUUUUGGUACUCCAAACCAGUGAGCCUCUGCGAAUAGGGGCGUGGGACACUGCCUACGCCCUGCAAUAAGGGAGUGGCACUCUUCCUACUCCCCACGAUAAGGGUGUGCCACACUGCUGAGCACAAAUCACCCAACUUCAUUUUUUCAAUUGGGGGCAAUGGUUUUUUGUCCUUUGCCAUUAGAUGACGUAAAUGUCUUUUAAUCCAUCAUAGUCAUCAGUUAUCAACUUUUAACAUUGCUAUUCUCCUCUCCAACUACCAAGUCAAGAAACUCAAGGUUUUCUCAAGAAUUCACUACUCUGGGCUUUAAACUCUGCAUUCUCUCCAAAUUCUUUCAAUUUUUAGGCAUGUUGGACACUUUCUAAUUUGAAUACUAUAUUAUUGCAUUCAUUCAAUUGUUAUUGAAGUUUUUUUUUUUUGAACUAUGGGUUUAAACUAGGGUUUGAGAAUUGUCAUCACUAAUGUGAAAUAUUAAUUUUUCUCUUCUUAUAAAUUAUUUAUAAUCACUUGCGGUGGAUUUUAGAUUUUUGAAUAACAUGUUUGAAAGGAUGCAUUUCAUUAGAUAAGUAUUAAAACAUUGAAUGUUAAGGAUGAUUGAAAUCAUGAUAUUCAAGUCCUUUGAAAAAGCUUUGAAUUGAGAUGAUGAACAAAUAUGACACCCUAUCUUUUUGAGGUAUUGAAAGUGUUAAACUUUAUGACUGCUUUGAGAUUUUUUUGCUAUUUAAUGAUUAUUAUGAGCAUCAUUUUGAAUGAUGGGAUUAAGGAGUCGUAACUAUUUUAUGAUAAUGGUUCUUGGUAUGAUAUGAAUGGGUUGCAAGUCUUGGUAUGACGAUAACAGUAUGAAUAUAUCCUAAUGAAUGACUCCCUGAUAAAUGUUAUGUUCAAACUAUUUUAAUUGGGAUCUAAAGAAAAUUAUAUAGCACACUGUGAAGGCAUAAGUCUUCGUGACCAACGCUUGAAACCUAUAUUGUUGGCAUAGAGAUGUCGUACCUUAAUUGGAUGAUUAGAUUAUGUGCUUAACAUGAUGAUAAUAUGUAUGGUGGCUUUAUCAUACUUGUGACUUUAGCUUAACUUCGGUAUGUGAGACCAACAUGGACUGGGGGCCCAUUGGUUUGGGAGUACCGCACCCAUAUAGCCCGUGGGUUACUAGAUGACCCAUACUAUCCAUGGGUCAGAAAACUACGAUGAAAGCUAUAUAGUUCAGGAUUAAAUUUCAAAGGUUCAUAUAACAUGUCCCUUACCCCUACCCCAACAUCCUAUUAUAUAUAUAUAUAUAUAUAUACACUUGAUAUGCAUGUGGUUUAUAAUUGGUUUUAGUAAAUACAUACAUGUUUUAUCUCUUUCUUCGGGUGCAUUCCAGUAUUCACCAUACUGACCGUCCUCGAAUGGUUUGAUUUCUUGAUCGAAAAACUAUGAAGUAGUGAGCCCUCCAUUUUACGAAAGGCCUGGUCUCUCUUUUUGGUUUUAGUUUAUUAUUCUAGCACUUUUGUAUUUCUUUUGUUAUAAUCACGGACAUGUUCGGAUUUAGUAGGUAUUCUUUAUAUUAGAGUCUUUUGUAGGCAGUGUUGGGUAUUUCUGUAUGGAAUUGAUUGUUGACUCACAAACUUACUCUUUGAUUAUUACAUCUCUCUUAUCCUACUGUUUAGCUUCCACAGUUCAUUAUUUUACUAUGCUCUUGAGGUAAGGCUAAGGGAUCGUCCUAGGCAUUGAUUGGUUUAGGAUGCCCGUCACGGCCAGGCCUCAGUUCGAAUCAUGACAAGCUUGGUAUCAAUGCAUGGUUUAGGGUUCUAGGAUGUCCACGAAGUCAUAUCGAGUAGAGUCUCUCUCAUGGGUGAGUGGCGCACUACACUUAUAACGGGGAGGCUAAAGACAUUUAAGAAUGUUUUCCUUCCUUGUGUUCUAUUUCAAGCUUGGGAGUCUAGUUACCAUGAAACUUCUCUAACUCCUAACUUACUCGCAUUUUAGAUCUUACAUCCUCGAAGAUAUGACAGUCAUAGGAACUUAGCUAGAACCUCUAUCCCAAUUGGGGAAAAUGUGGAGGAUGUUUGCCCUACUCAUGAAAUACAAACUCAAAAUAAAGCCCAUGCUCUGGAUUAUACUACUCCACCAGGGAUUCCACCGGUCCUUACUAGUCCUCCUCAAGCUGAUAAUACUCAUACUCAAUUUCCUUAGGGAGAUAUCUCGAAUGCUGAGUUCCAUCAGUCCAUCCAUAUGCUUACGUGGAAUAUAGCCUCCCAGUUUCAUCAUCUUGAUCAUGUCGGUCCUUUUGUUAACUCGUCUGAGGCCACUCGAGUUUGCCAAUUUGUGAGGCUGAAUUCCCUAAACUUUACAGGCUUUAAGGUUGAGAAGGAUCCUCAGGAGUUUAUUAAUGAUAUGGAAGAUCUUCAGGGUGAUGCAUGCUAGUGAUUUAGAGAGGGUCGAGUUUGUAGCUUAUCAAUUGAAAGAAGUGUCUUAUCAGUGGUACGAGGAGUGGGAAGAGUUAAGGGGUGAAGAUAUUGAGCCGGUAGUGUUGGAAGGGUUCUUGGGUACUUUCCUUGGUCACUUCUUUCCUAAAGAGUUGUGGGAGGCUAAGGCUGAAGAGUUUUUAAACCUAAAAUAAUGUAAAAUAAGUGUUAAGAAGUUUGCAUUAAAGUUCACUCAACUAUCUCGUUAUGCUCUUGAGCUUGUGUAACACCCUGAGUCUGGUACCUCGGACGCUACACGGUGCUUAUAAACUUGAAGGACCAUAAUCUAACCCAUGUAUACUACCUGUUGCAAAUACUGAAUAACAAUACUAUAUAAUGCAGAAUAAUGGGCUGAAAUUCCAUAAGGUUCAAUACUGUAAUAAAUCUGACAAUACGGUAUAACAAUACCAAGACAAAAACAACUGUCUGAAAAUACUCUAGUCUGAAAAGCCUCUAAGUUUUCUGAAUAGGAGUUGAUGGGACAAUCGUCCAACUAAAUUCAUCUACUGAAAUACUAAGUCUAAUGAAAUAAUAAAAUAAAAGAAUAUCCUCGAAUGAUGAGGACUCACUGCUAAGUUUACUGCUGUUGGCUGGAUUUGAACUGCUAAGGAUGCUCGGGAGCUCUUGUGUCUGAACCUAUGUUAUAAGACACCAUAGCUUAAGAAAGUAUGUGUCAGUACGUAAGAAUGUACUAGUAUGCUAGAUGAGGUAAGGCUAAAUGCAAGGGUUCGUAUACAUAGACAAUACUGACUGAAUAACAUGAGUAUGCUGAAUAAGGAUACAUGCAUAAAUACAUAAACCAUAACUAAAAUCAUAGUGAUACUGAAUACUGAGUUCUAAUAACUGGAUUACUGCUAAUUGAGUCUACUAAUACUGUGUUACUGAUACUUAGUCUACUAAUAUGCUGAUAUUGAUUUACUGUAUCUAACAGUACUGAUUUCUGAUGGAACUAGUUGAGUUCUGUACUGAGUUGAGUGAUUGUAUCUGAUAGUCCUGAGAUCUAUAGAUAUAUCUGAGUUCUAUUUUGAAGAAUGAGAAUGAAACUGAUACUGUGGGAGUUAAUCAUCUAACUGACAUGCCCUGAGUCUAAACUAGUGGGGUCCAACCUGUAACCCCAGCUGAAAGGGUGUUAGUACCGUGCUUAGGGUAAAGACAACUACUAUGUAGUCAGUCCUAACUAACGGUUGACUCCUAAGAUCAAUCCUAUCUAGCAGGUAAUCCCUGAGUAUGUCAGUCCUAUCUAAUAGGUGAUAUCUCAUGACCUAUGCUGGAUAUGUAGUUCUGGAACUUAGGGAUUGCUUUUAGGGACCCAGUCCUAGCUAUCACGCGAGUCCCCAUCCUUACGAUCGCUCGGUGCUGAAUCCUACUCUCAACUGAAAGACACUAAACUAAUUUCAUAGUUCAUACUAGGCUUGACUAAACUGGUACUGAUCAUACUGUUUAACUGAGCUGAACUAAGAUCACUGAGUUCCGUUGACUGACGGAAUACUUCUAAAUUUUUCGCUGAAUUCUACUGAUCGUGACAUGACUGAGACUAUUUUGUAACUGACACUGGCUCUAGGAAAAUAGCUAAAUUGUCGGGUAUUAAAUACCCCCAGGAUUCGAUAACAUGAUAAGUAAAGCAUAACAUGAUCUUGCAAAGCAUAACAAUACACGCUUGUUCAUAAUUCAUCUAUUGAGACAUUUCAUCAAACACUUGUAGGGCAUAGGCUUGUGCACAUACUAACAUCUUACAAUUUCAUCAACUUAUUCACAUGAAAGUCAUAAACUCAUACAUAAUAGGAAUACAUUCUAAUGUCUCAUGAUUCAUUCAAUACGGCCUUUCAUCAAACACUUGACAUGUAUUAACAUGUACAUGAAUGGGGAUUUCUUAUUAACAUGCUAUAAUGACACUAUUUCAUUCACAUAGGUAUUUUAUCAAACAUAUAGGGAGCAUGCUUUGAUCAUACAACAAUCAAUACAUCUAAUUAUCAUGUCUAAUCUUUCAACUUGCAAUUUGAGGGGUUUAUCAUGAACAUCAUGCAAAUCAUCACAUUUUAGGAUCAAUUAUUGAAUCUUGUAAUCUAAAACAUGAAUCAAAACUCAACAACAACAUAAACAUGAAUUUCAAUUCAAAUAAAUCAUGAAAACUCACAAAUAUACAAUCUUUGUAUUUUGAAAAUAGAUUCUUGGGCUUCAUGGGUGGAAGGGACCCAUGAAUAAACAUCUAACAUACCUUAAUGCUUGAUUUUAAGAAGAUUGAUGGUGAAAUUCUUGAGAGUUGAAUCUUGAAUUUAAAACCCUAAUGCUUUUUCUUGAGAGAGUUUGAGAGGAUGAGAGUAUAUUUUGGUGAAUUAGGGCUAAAUUUCGUGUUUAUGGCUGAAUUAGAGUGGAGAAAUAACCCUUUUGCCCUUUAAAAAUUUGGGGCUGGACUGCUAAAAGUACCCCAUCUGGAAUGGAAAGUGCAUCAUGGGCUUUAGUUUGUCGCUCUAGGCAGGGCACCGCGGUGCUUAGAGCAUUUCUAUGGCCAGGGCGGCACAGGAUUAACGGCUUUAGCUACUGGUUUGGAAAUCCAAAUAGGCCCUUAUGCUUGUUCGAAAAUGAUGAAACUCAUCCGAGAUGUACUGCUGACUUGCCCCAUUGUGAAUCAACUUAAAAAUUGACAAACGAAGGUCGGGAAGGUCAUGAAAUAAAUCCUCAAAGUUUGAAGGCUUUGAAAGAGUCUAAGUCUUCACACUUAGCUAAAAUUCUCUAAGUGUGAGAUCCCUUAUGAAGCUCUAAGGAGGCUGAAUUAGACUUAGAAUUUUUGCUGGGUUUUACAAUAUCUCCCUCUUGGGAACAUUUAUCCUCGAAUGGGACUAACUAAGCUGAGAUUACAGAUAAACUGAACUUACUUACUGGACAUGAUCAUCUGAAACAUAAUUAUAUGGUUGGAACCACUGAUAUACUAAAAUUCCAUACUGAACAUGCAUAUCUGAUGCAUGAGUACAUGGCUGAACUGACUCAUGAAUGCAUGACUGAAUAUGAAAUGGUAACUGAUACCAAGUUUGUAAGGAAAAUUUGAACAUGAAACUGAAUGGGUUUAAGGACAUGAAAGCAUCGCGGAAUUGUAGGGUAUCUCCUCUUUGGGACACUAUGUCCUUCUAAGAAUGCUUACUAUAUUAAGAUACUGGGGAAAACUGGGGUGAUGUACAGGAUACCUACAAACUGAAUUGCAACUGAAUAUCUGGGAUCUGAAACUAAUGCAUGAUUCAUAAACUGAGCUGAACUGGAAACUACUAGGAUGUUCUAUCUUGGAAUAGUUACAUUUCUAAUAUUUCUGAUAGUAUGACUACAUGGAGAUGGGAAAACAAACCAUAUGAAUUUGACUGUCUGACUGCUAAACUGAAUUGCUGGCUUUAAUGACUAAAUCAUGCUGAAAACUUAAGCUCAACUAGAUCAAGGGACCUAACAAAGCAUAUCAUAAAUAUGAAAGACUCAUAACCUACCCGAAUCUAUAUUAGGGGAACUUCGCUGAUCAUGUCGAGUCUGGAAUGCAUAAAAUCUGUUAUGACAUUGACCACUAGUGGUAUUGGAAGUGGCGCCCUACUAAUGCAAAUCUUUACCCCUCUGAGCCAAUACUCUAUACUCCCAUAGCCUGUGUCCUGGCUUACCAUAUCCAAAACAUACCUCAUUGCCAGCUCUACACAUAGCUAGGUGAUUUCUACUACACUUUUUGCAAAGUAGAUAGGUACGAUCACUAUUUAUACUACCCUAGGUCUUGGAGCCUGGCGCCCCAUCAUGACUGUCAUUCCUGAACUUGAGUACUAGUGCACUAGCUGUAGAUAGAGAUGGGACUGAAAACUUCUGGCUAAACUGAGAACGGUUACCACCCUGUGACCCUAGCUGAGAAAAACUAAAACUACCUAUUCUAGCUCUCUUAUUUUCCUUCUUUUUCUUCUUAGAUUCUGCUCCUCAAUCUGCUGAGCGUGGACCAUAAGCCUAGAUAUGUUCAUAUCCUUAAUUAACAUCAGUCCUUUACUCCUUAACCACACUAUCAGAUACCCUAGACACAAAAUUGAUUAUUCUGGAUCUAUUGUCUGCUACAACAUGAGGAACAUAUUUGGCUAACUGAGUAAACUUGAGGGAAUACUCUUUUACGCUCAUGCUAUAUUAUCUGAGAUUGAUAAACUCUAACACUUUGGCUUCUCUCAGCUCUAGGGGAAAGAAUCUAUCUAAGAAGGUUCUAGCAAACUCUUCGCAUUUUAUGGGCUCUGCAUCUGUACCCCUGUCUACUUUCCACUGCUUAAAUUAUGUAUAGGCUAUAUCUUGUAGCUAAUAGGCAGCUAACUCAGCACUCUCACUAAAAGUCACUUCCAUAAUAUUUGUGACUUUCUGAACCUGAUCAAGGAACUCCUAUGGAUCCUCUUUUGACUUGGAUCCUGAGAAUAGGGGAGAAUUCAUUUGAGUGAAGUCUCAAAUCUUGGUAGAAGCAGUAUUGGCAACUGGGUUGGCCUGAACAAUAGCUAGAUGCCUAUUAUGGACUACUACAGCCUUAGCUAGAGUAGUGAAUGCUACUCUGAAUUUUGCAUGAGAGACGUGCUCCUCCAGAGGAUCUGGUUGGAUAGGAUGAGGUGCUAACUGAUUCUCAUUCCUUCUUUUAUUUGUCCUUUUGGGAGGCAUGUUCUGUAAAAAGAAGGAAAAGAUAAGUUAGAUUGAGGCUUAACUGGAGAUUAUGCUCACUCGUAUGACAUGAAUACUGAAAGAAGGGAAACUGUUCCUAAAAUAUCUUAUUGCCUUAUACUUAUAAGUGUGGCGCGCAACACACCUAUGCAUAAGACUCUACUAGAUGCGGCUUUCAGACUUUCUAGGACACUAUUAAACUCUAGGCUCUAGUACCAAGUUUGUAAUGCCCUGAGUCUGGUACUUCGAAUGCUACACGGUGCUCAUAAUCCUGAAGGACCACAAGCUAACCAAUGACUGGUACCUGCCUCAAAUACUAAAUAACAAUACUGUAUAAUAAGAAAUAAUGGGCUGAAAUGCCAUAAGGUUUAAUACUGUAAUAAAUCUGACAAUAAGGUAUAACAAUACCAAGACUAAAACAACUGUCUGAAAAUACUCUAGUCUGAAAAGCCUCUAAACUGUCUAAAUAAGGAGUUGAUGGGAUAGUUCCCCAACUAACUCCAUCUACUGAAAUACUAAAUCUAAUGAAAUAAUAAAAUAAAAGAAUAUUCUCGAAUGAUGAUGACUCACUGCUAAUUCUACUACUACUAGCUAGAUCUAAAUUGCUAAGGAUGCUCGGGAGCUCGCGCAUCCGAACCUAUGGUAUAAGACCCCAUAGGUAAAGAAAGUAUGUGUCAGUACGUGGGAAUGUACUCGUAUGCUAGAUAAGGUAAGGUUAAAUACAAGGGUUUAUAUACAUAGACAAUACUGACUGAAUAACAUGAGUAUGCUGAAUGAGGAUACAUGUAUGAAUACAUAAACUAUAACUGAAAUUGUAGUGAUACUGAAAACAUAAACUAUGAAUACGUCUGUAUUUUUCUUUGAGAGGCUAUAGGGCAUUUAAGAAAAGUUUCCUUUCUUUCCUUCUCUAGAUCGUCCAGUAAAUUUUUCCUAUCGAAAUCUCCUAUCCAUUCGUGUGGUACCCCAAAAUUCAUCACCUAUGUAUUAUACUUGAGAUAACAUAAUUAGCAAGUUUCAAUUUCCUCCCGAGAUAAUGCUCUCAGAAUUACUAGUAAAAGUUUUAAAAGUCAUACAAAGGGGCUUGAGAGGACCUCUCUAGUGUGUCAUGAGUCCCUUAUGUUGAAAGUUAUGUCCUCAUUCUUAUGAAUCAUUCAGUUAAUACAAAUUAAGAUAUGUAUUCAUAUUCCUCAUUAGCCUUUCAAUAUGGAUAGUACUCAUUAGAAGAACUAGUGUGAGUAUUGAUUGCUGAUUAGAGUUUGUGUUCAUGAGAUAUUGAAACCUAGAGUGAUAUGAUUCAUAAGUAGUUGAAACUUCUUAUAGUUGGAAGUUUGAGUAUAGAAGAGUAAUAGAAAGAAGAGUGAGCAUGACGAUUGAUAGAAAGUAUAGAGAUAAACUUAUGCAUGCUAUAGAUCUUGCAUUAUGUUGAUAUGUCCUUGUGUGUUAGUUUAGUAGAAGGUAGAGAAGGAGUUAUUAGUUAAGGUGAAUUGUUGUUUACUUAAAGUAUGAAAAGAAUUGUUGAUAGUAUUUAUUGUGUUAUAAAAGUAUAGAUUAUUGAUGAAAGUACUUGGUGGUUUAGUAUUGUCAAUUUAAGCUUCCCCUGAGGUUGCAAAAAGGAGUUUAGUUGAAACUUAUAGGACUAUGAAAGAAGUUUAGCUGUAUAGAUGGGUGAAUAGUAGUGAUGUGUAAAAAGAGGACAUGUUAAUGGAUUAUAAUAAGAUAGGCUAUAUAAUCUUGAUCAAUUAUUGUUCUUAUACGGUUUUAGUAGACUAGUUUUUCUUGAUGUUUUAUUUUAUAGUUUCCAAGUGAGAAUUGUGUGUGAGGUUGGGUUGUAAAUUAUGUUUAGCUCUAGACAUUAAGUUUAAACUGUGGAGGGUCAUCAAGGUGGAUGUAAAGAUUGCUUGGUUAGUGAUGCUAGUUAGAUGGAGGUGAACCAAUAGGCUUGAAAAUAGUGAAUGAAAGAAUGUAAGUUUAUUGAUUUGAGAUUAAGCAUGAUGUUGUAGGUAUGAGGUAGUGGUGUGCCCAAGGGGAUAUAAGGUUGCAUUAUUUUCUAUGUUUCUUACGUAUUGUGUGUGGUUAGUAGUACCCUUGAGUUUUAAGUGGAAAAAGCAUAAUUGUCUAGUACAUGGUAUUCUGGAUAGCCAAGUUAAGGAGUUAUGGAUAGAUGAUGUUGAGUCUUUUAACUAUGAUUUUGAUUCUUAUGAUUUGUGAAAAAUAUAAGUAUAGAGGUAUGAUCUUUCUAGCCCAUGAUUAUGUGUUUAGUAACGCAGGUAUGUUUUUUUAGAAUUAAGAGAGUGUAAGUCUAUGAUGAUGAUUAUCAAAGAUAGAGGGAGUUAAGGAUGGUAUAUGGGAGGGGUUUAAAACUUAGAAAAUUUCAGCUAAGUGUUGGGACUUAGUCUUUUCCAAAGCCUUCUAACUUUGAGGAUUUUAUUUAUGACCAUCCCAACCUUCGAUAGUUAAUUUUUAAGUUGAUUCAUUAUCAGGGGAUUUAAUAGUACAUCUUAGGUGAGUUUGGAAUUUUCAGACCCCGUUUAGGGAAUGUUUGGAUGUCCAAACCAGUAGCUAUGCACGAUUAGCAUGCAACGCAUGAUCCAAUCCACCCCUACGAGCAUGCGAUAGAGCAUGCGAUGAACGCUUCAUAGCGUGUGAUGCACGCUACACAACAUACUUCCUUAUUUUUCCAACUCCUAUUUCUGCGUAUUAAAGGGCCAAUGCUUAUAUACCUCAUACGUAUUCAAGUUUAUUCUCAACUUUUAGUAAGUAAGUAAUGGCUUCACUCUAUGGUUUGAUUCAUCCCUCAGAAAUCUAUGGACUUCAGUCUUAUAUUGAAUUGCUUGUGAUAAGUAUGAACUCAUGUUUCAGAGUAUGACCAGUUUUUUUGAACUCAUGAUACUGUUGAAUUCACAUUAUAUCAUUUAUGUCCUCAGUUUAGAUCUCUUUAAUGAAUCCAUGCCUUUGAUAUUCUGUUCCUCAGGCCUCAUUUAAGUGUUAAAGUUAUAUAUAGUAGUCUUUCGUAUUCAGGUCCUUAUGUGUUAGCCCUUCAGUAACCUCUUCCUAUGUCAAGAUAGUGGCGAUGAUAAUGGAUAACAAUGAUUUAGAUGAGAGGGAGUUGAUGACCCUCAUUAAGAAAGAUCAAUUAUGCUUUUCUAUCUAAGGGUAAAGUGUGAAGUAAGAUUGAGGCCAAGUCUUUGGUACCUUUCAUAGUUAGUAAAGAAUUAUGGGUAUGUUUUCUUAAGAAUAAUGCAAGAAAAUUAUCAUUGAUAGAGGUUUAGAGAAUAUGCAAAGUAUGCCUUUAUAUGUAUUUGCCUUGAAGUUAUAUAUGGGUAUAAAGAUAGGCUUGAAUGUCAUAUUGGGAUGUAAGUGGAGGAAUGCAAUAUACGCUAGUGAAUCCAUAGUAAGAGUUCAGAGUUGGUCAUUAAAGUGGUAAAGCACAUUAUGCUUAGAGAGUGAGCUCUAAGAGAGACAUAGAGGAUUGAAGCAUGUUGUUUAGACUAGUAUUGUGGCGUGGCAUGUUGUACCUUGUGAUCUUGAGUUAGGAUUGAUCAUGGUGAGAAGACUUAGAUCAAUUUUGACAUUAGUAGAAUGAAUUAUGAAUGGCCAUGUGAGAAUUAGGAGUUGAAUCAAUGAAGAUGGUGAGAGAAUUUAGUUCAGUCUAGACAUCAGUAGAUGGAAAUAUUAGUGCUAUAUGAGAAUUAUAAGUUGAAUCAAGCGAGUAUAGUAUUUAAGGGGAAUAGUAUAAAUGAGGGAGUAUUCGAGAACUGUUGCUAAGCUUGAAGGUAAGAAGUUGCAUCGCCUAAAACCUGGUAAUUUUAUCAUAGUUUAUGAUUUAUAUGUCUAUAUUCCAUGUUAUGGAGUGUUGAAGAGAUACUCCAACUAUGUAUAAGUUUCCAGCGUAAUUCAGUCAGUAUAGCCAGCAAUUCAGUUUAACAGUAAGGCAGACAAGUUUGUGUUUUUUUACACCUUUUUACCCAGUCCCACUAUCCAAAGUCUCAUGCGUAUGACCAUUCCAAGAGAUAAUCUAUUCCAUCCAUGUAAAUUAUAAAGCGUAGUUCAUGCAUCAGUUUCAAAUAUUAAAUCAUGAAUCAGUUCGUAAUUAUCCGGUGUAUCAUCUCAGUCUUUUCCUAGUAUUUCAACCAAAUCAGUAUCAUUCGGGGACAAAUGAUCCCACGGGGGUAUUGUAAUAUCCCGAGUUUUCAUGUCAUAAACCUAUCAUCUUUUUCUUGUAAAUUUAGAUCUAGCCUAAAAUAAUGGUUACUCAUAAGUUGACACUCUCGUUUCUAUCUCAGCCAUUUCGCUAUUUUUAAUGAGAAUUCAUGCACUCGCAGAUCAGUUCAGUAGCUCAUUAUGUUUAAGAUUCAGUAGCUCAUUAUGUUUAAGAUUCAGUGAUUCAGUUUAUUUCAAUUGUGCAUGAUAACUUAUAGCCUUAGAUUCCUCAGUGUUUUCAGCUUCAUUAGCCAUAUUUGAGGAUGAAUGUUCCCAAGGGGGAGAUAAUGUAAUACCCCACAUUUUCGGGCUAGUCUUUGAACCAUCAUUCCUACAUGUGAUUUAUAAUCCAAGUGAUUUUCAUGUGAAUAUAUGUUUUAUGAUCUUUUUACUAGUGUGUGAAAUGCUCAUGAGGUAAAAAAUGUUCAUAGAAAUCAUUUAGAGCCAAGUUGAGCUAAGAUCCUUUAAUUCGUCCAAAAUUCGAUAUUUGAUUCUACAAGGGUCUACUUUAAACAUGUAUAACUUUUAAUAUAAAUGGAAUUUUUCAUCCCAAGACCCACUAAAUUUUAGAUAAUUGAAUCAGCUUUCCAACGAUACCAAUUUUGCCAAAAUCUGGUUCCUAAGAAAAAAGUUGUGGCCAUUUUUGUGAGUGAGGCAGUAGCAUUGCGUGAUUAGCGUGUGACGUACACCCUAUCGCACGCCCCCAAUUUGCAGGUUCUGUUUUUGCAUUUUUAAGGGAAAAAAGGUCCUUUCCUUCACCCAAACUCGUCCAUAAUAGAUAAUUAAUGCCUUAGGGAGCAUUAUUUGCCCCUUUAACCAUAAUUUCUCUCCAAGCCUCCAUCAAGAACAAACCCUAAUCCCCAUUCAAGAAGUUCAAGACUUCAUUACAAUACCUUCAAGAAAAACCAAGAAUUAGGUUCCUUAAUCCAAGAAUCUAAGAGUUCAAUCUUCCAAGUUCAAUAAUUCUUCAAAAUAUAUCAAGAAUAAAGUUUCUUUCACAAGUUCAUCACUCAAGCUCCAAGAUUCAAGAUUUCUUCAUCAAAUUCAAACUAUUAUGUGGGGUUUCAACAAGAACAAUUCUUUCGUUCUUGUCCCCAAAAUUAUGAAUUUUAUUAAAGAUUACAUGACUUGCAAGUUGGGGUUUAUGCCCAAAUUAUCUUGUUUUGAGUUUAUAAAGUUAUAAGUGAUUUAAGCCUUGAAUUGCAUGACUAUUUUCAUAUAUUUAUGCAAGUAGUGCAAUUUUCCAGAUUUUCCAAGUAAGUUUAGGAAUGAUAUUGUGAUUCUUGAUUUUAUUAUUUUGAUAUUGUUGAAGUAUUUUCAAGAAUCAUGUUGAGCAUAAAGUUUUGUUGUGAAUUUGUCAUAAGUUUAAAGCAUGAAUUUUAAGCCCAAAGAUUAAGUAUUGAAAUCCUCAAGAUCAUGUUCAUAAAAGUUUUGAUUAUUAAAUCCAUAUCAAGAGUGAGUUUGAGUUUUCAAGAAGACUAUGGUCUUAAGCUUUCCUCUAACAAAUUGCUUACCAAGAUUUAAAGAAAGUUGAUGUUUUGAUCCUAAGCUCAGAUAGGAAUCCACAUUAUUCAUACAGUUUAUGAUUUAAAGCAAAGAGAAGCACAAUUGGUUUUUAUUAUAAACCCUUGUGUUAUUUUAAGGUGGAUUUCCUAAAAGUUCUGAGCAACAAGUAUGGAAGUAGUAUUUAGCACCGAGUUGGGUAUGAUUCCAAGGUCUCAUGCCCCAGAACUACAUGCCACCAUAGGUUUAUGAUUUUCCCAUAGUGGGUUGAGAUGGUGAUCACUCCCUACAACUAAUAUAAGUGUAUACUAAAGCUUUUAGCACUACAUUUCAAAAGUCUUAUAAAUAGAAUGGCAAAAUAGUUUUAAAAACUACGUGUAAAGGCUUACAGACUUCCUCAGACAUUGCUUUACUUAAGCCUUAGUCACAGACUUACAGUUUUCAGUUCUUAGAAGAUAAAGAUGAGCCUUUCUAACUUAGCUUACAUGAUUUACAAAUAGAAUAGAAGUACAGCUUUUAGAACUAAGUGUUAUGACUCACGAUAUUUACAUACCAUGUUUUACUACUCAUGAUAUAUGACUUCUCAACUUUCAGUUACUCAAGCCAGUGUGAGUCAUUUUUGCUUAGCAUGUAUUAUUUACAAAAUAUAUGUACUUAUUUAUAUAUACAGUUACAGUUUUACUUAUGUAUUCACCCCGAUAUACUCAGUACAUCCUCAAAGUACUGAUCCACAUAUAUGUCUAUGUGCUACAUUAUCUCAUAAUGUAGGUACAAGUCAUAGCACACAUAUUAUAAUCAAACAGGUUGCAGCUUCCAGUUAGUAGGUAAUGAAUCCUUUUGAUUCAAGGGCUCAAGUCAGUCAGAGUUUGUGUAGCAUUUUAUUUUCUUCAUUCAUUCGUGUUGAUUGAGGAUAGCUGGGGUCAUGUCUCGGUUACCUAAAAUCAAUGCUAGUAGAGGCUUCAUAGACAGUUAGUAGAGUUAAUGUAUUUGACUUCAGUUUUGUUUGUAAAAGCAGAGUUGUAAACAUUUUCCUACAGUUGUAUUGAUCAUAUUUAACUAAAGAUGUGUUUUUCGCCUAUUUUGUACAGAUUUAUGUAUCUUAUUUAGUUGCUCAUAAGUUAUUCCUAUAUAAGAGUUAGCUUGGGAUCACUUGUGGUCCUAAGCACCAUGUGACAUCUCGGGAUAAAUUUUUGAGGCGUUACAAAGGGUGUUAGUACCAUGCCAUGGGUAAAGACAACUGCUGUGGAGUCAGUUCUAAUUAACGGGUGACCCCUAAGGUCAGUCUUAUCUAGUGGGUGAUCCCUGAGUUUGUCAGUCCUAUCUAAUAGGUGACAUCUCAUGACCUACGCUAUCUACAUAGUUAUGGAACUUAGGGAUUGCUUCUAGGGACCUAGUCCUAGCUAUCGGGUGUGCCCCUAUCCCUAGGCUCGCUCGGUGCUGAAUCCUACUCCCAACUGAAAGAAACUAAACUGAUUUCCUAGUUCAUACUAGGCUUGACUGAACUGUUACUAAUCGUAUUGUUUAACUGAGCUAAACUGAGAUCACUGAGUUCCAUUGACAGAUGAAAUUCUACUAAAUUUUUUCCUGAGUUCUGUAACUGACUGAAUUCUACUCAUCGUGACAUGACUGAGACUAUUCUAUAAUUGACACUGGCUCUAGGCAAACAACUAAAUUGUCAGGAAUUAAAUACCCUCAGGACUCGAUAACAUGAUAAGUAAAGCAUAACAUGAUCUUGCAAAGCAUAACAAUACAUACUUUUUCAUAAUUCAUCUAUAGAGAUAUUUCAUCAAACACUUGUGCACAUACUAACAUCUCACAAUCUCAUCAACUUAUUCACAUGAAAGUCAUAAACUCGUACAUAAUAGGAAUACAUACUAAUGUCUCAUGAUUCAUUCAAUACGGACUUUCAUCAAACACUUGACAUGCAUUAACAUGUACAUGAAUGGGAAUUUCUUGUCCACGUGCUAUAAUGACACUAUUUCAUUCACAUAGGCAUUUUAUCAAAUAUAUAGGGAGCAUGCUUUGAUCAUACAAUAGUCAAUACAUCUAAUUAUCAUGUCUAAUAUUUUAACUUGCAAUUUGAGGGGUUUAUCAUGAACAUCAUGCUAAUCAUCACAUUUUAGGAUCAAUUCUUGUAUCUUAUAAUCUAAAACAUGAAUCAAAACUCAACAACAACAUGAACAUGAAUUUCUAUUCAAGUAAAUCAUGAAAACUCACAAAUAUACAAUCUUUGUAUUUUGAAAAUAGAUUCUUGGGCUUCAUGGGUGGAAGGGACCCAUGAAUAAACAUCUAAUAGACCUUAAUGUUCGACUUUAAGAAGAUUGAUGAUGAAAUUCUUGAGGGCUGAAUCUUGAAUUAAAAACCCUAAUGUUUUUUCUUGAGAGAGUUUGAGAGGAUGAGAGUAUAUUUUGGUGAAUUAGGGCUAAUUUUUUUAGUUUAUGGCUAAAUGAGGAUGGAUAAAUGACCCUUUUACCCUUUAAAAAUUUGGGGCUAGACUGCUGAAAUUGCCCCAGUCAGAAUGGCAAGGGCACAGCGGGCUCUAGUUAGCCACUCUAUGAAGGGCGUCGCGGUUCUUAAAGCACCGCUAUGGCCAGGGCGGCACGGGCUUAAUACCUUUAGCUAAUAGUUUGGAAAUCCAAAUAGGCCCUUACCCUUGUCUAAAAUUUUGAAACUCACCCGAGAUGUACUACUGACUUGCCCCAUCAUGAAUCAACUUAAAAAUCAACAAAUAAAGGUUAGGAAGGUCAUGAAAUAAAUCUUUGAAGUUUGAAGGCUUUAAAAAAGUCUAAGUCUCAACACUUAGCUAAAAUUUUCCAAGUGUGAGACCCCUUAUAAAGCUCUAAGGGUCUGAAUUAAACUUAGAAUUUUUGUGGGGUCUUACAACUUGUGUCUAAUAUGAGGUCUAGAAUAAAGAAUCUUUCUUUAGGUUUUUCUCGCGACUUGGUGUUAGGGUGUAAGGCAGCUAUGCUGAGUAAUGAUAUGGAUAUAUCUAUAUUGGUGUUCUAUAUGCAACAGGUGGAAGAUGAGUAAAAAAGUGGAUAGAGGUAGAGAAAAGGCAGAAUAAGAAGGUUAAGCAUACACAUCAAGAUGUAUGCCAAUAGUUUGGUGGUUUAAUAAGAAAUCCUGGGAAAUUAUCAUCAAUCAGCCAGUGCUCCGACCCCCAUUAGUGACCAACACUCCUAGUCUAGCAAUGACCAUUGGGCACAGAGUGCCUUAUCUCAAGCCAGUAUAGCACAGUUGAUGCCAUCUUAUCCAUGUUACCUCACUUGUGGGAAGUUUCAUCAUGGGUUUUGUCGCGUCAGGUGUGGAGUGUGUUUUGGAAGUGUCAUUCGGGUCAUAUACAAUGAUAUUGUCUUUUAUCUAGGGUUUCCACCAAAGCUAAGGGUCUUAUUCUCUACUUCAUCAACUCUCAUAGCUAAGGGUGCUACAUUAGGGAUAGAAAAUAGCUGAAAUUGCCUUUAUGCACUUGACACCCAUCAGGAAUCCAAGGCAUCCUUAGAUGUUGUCACUAGUAUGUUAUAUAUUUUCUCUUAAGAUGUUUAUUGUUUUCUUGAUUUGGGUUCUACUCUGUCAUAUAUGAAUCUUUAUGUCAUUGUACACUUUGGUUCUAGUCCUAUAAGUGUGAAUUUUGGCAAGGUGUUGUAAAUUUUCUUUGGCAUAUAGUGUCUAGUAAAGGAAUCAAGGAGCACCUAAAAAAGAUUGAGAUAGUUAAGAAGUGGCCUAUACCCAUGACUCCAACCGACAUUAGGAGCUUUUUGGGCUUGGUCAGGUACUAUAAGAGGAUUUUUGAGAGUUUAUCAUCUAUUGUCGCUUUGCUGAUAAGGUUAAUUCAGAAAAGGUGAAGUUUUUAUGGUCUGAUCCUUGUGAGGGCAGUUUUGAGAAGUUAAAGGAUAAGUUGAUUUUUACUUCUAUUUUUACCCUACUCGAGGGAACUGAUGGGUUUGUUGUGUAUUACAAUGCAUCCCGUGUGGGUUUAAGGUAUGUUUUGAUGCAACAUUGUAAGGUUAUAUCUUAUGCUUCUAGGGAGCUUAAGGUUCAUGAGAGGAAUUACCCGACUAACGAUCUAGAGUUGGCGGAUAUGGUCUUUGCUGUGAAGAUUUGGCACCACAAUGUUGUAUGGGGUGAAUGUGGGUAUUUAUUCGGACCAUAAGAUCUUGCAGUAUGUGUUUACACAGUAGGAAUUGAAUCUUAAGAAGAGGCGCUGGAUCAAAUUGCUUAAAAAUAAUGACAUGAGCCUUCACUAUCGCCUAGGUGAAGCUACCAUUGUUGAUGAUGUGCUUAGUAGUCUAUCCAUAAGGAGUCUAUCCCACGUUAAAGAGGAUAAAAAAAGACUGUGAAGGACAUUCACCGGCUGGCUAGUUUAGGAGUUCACUUUUUACACUUUGACGAUGAAGGAGUGUUCAUUAUAGAAGUGGUUUAAUCAUCUCUUGGUACUGAGGUAAAGGGGAAGCAGGUUCUGGACCAUAUACCCAUGCAAAUCAAAGAUGGUGUGGGUCAUCAAAAGUUUAUGGCUUUUGAGACUGAGGUAGAUAACACCUUGAGAUAUCAAGGAAAGUUGUGUGUCCGUGAUGUAGAUGGGUUGCGGGAAAAUAUCUUGACUGAAGUGCAUGUGUCUAGGUAUACCAUUCAUUCGGGUUUGACACAAAUUUAUUAUAAUCUAGAAAAAAUCUAUUGGUGGAAUAAAUAUGAAAAGGUAUAUGACAAAUUUUGUUACCAAGUGUAUGGUCUGUUAGCAAGUCAAGGUUAAAUAUUUAACGUUGGGUGGCAUAUCAAAAGAGAUAGAAUUUUCCAUGUAGAAGUGGGAGAUGAUUAAUACAGAUUUCAUCUCGGGUCUUCCGCAGUCUCAAAAUUAGUAUGAUUCAAUUUGGGUCAUUGUGGACAGAAUGACCAAGUCUGCUCACUUUUUGCCGGUAAGGACUAACUACUCAGGAGAGGAUCAUGACAAGUUGUUUAUUUCGAAUUAGUUAAGUUGCAGGAACCCGAUGUCCAUCAUUUUAAACUAAGGUAUGCAGUUCUCUUCUUAUUUUUGGCAUUUUUUUCAAAAGGGGUUGGAUACCCAGGUGAACCAUAGCACAACUUUUCACCCUUAAAUGGAUGGGAAAGCGGAGCACACUAUUUAGACUCUAGAAGAAAUGCUAAGGUCCUGUGUAACAGACUUUAAAGGAAGUUGGGUUGAUCAUUUUCCUCUUAUUGAAUUUGCUUAUUGAACCAAGUUAGGACUAUCUUGGUUCACCAAUCCAUGGAGAAGGUAAAGGUGAUCCGAGAAAAACUUAAGGUUGCUUAAAGUUGCCAAAAGUCUUAUGCGGAUGUGAAGAGAAGGGAGAUGGAAUUUGAAGUUGAUGAUUGGGUAGUCUUUAAAGUUUCUUCAAUAAAGAGAAUCAUGAGAUUUGGGAAAAGGGGAAGCUUACCCCUCGUUUCAUUAGUCCAUACCAGAUAUUAAUAAGGAUUGGUAAUGUUUAUUUUAUAUUGGAAUUACCUACGAGUUUGACUUCAGGGUUUAUCUCGUAUUUCAUAUGUCUAUGCUUAAAAAGUGUGUGAGUGAUCCUUCUUUAGUAGUGGCCAUUAUAGAUAUUGGUGUCAAGGAUUCACUGUCCUACGAGAAAUUCCCAGUUGAGAUAUUGGAUAGGCAAGUUUGGAAACUGAGGACUAAGUAAAUAGCUUCGGUGAAGGUUCUUUAGAGGAAUCAAAAGGUAGAAGAGACUACGUGGGAAUAGGAAGAGGAUAUGAAAGCCAAGUACCCAUUCUUGUUCCCGAAACUGUUCAAGGUGUGAGUUUAAUUUCCCCUCUUGAAAUAUUUUGGAUUUGUCCUUGAAUUCCAUUGUGCUUUUUCUAUUAUCAUGCUAAGAAUGUCCUAACUCCUCAUUCAGGGAAGAAUUAUCCAGAGGAGGGGAUUAUGUAAGAUCCCGUAAAUUUUUGACCAAUUUAUUUAAGACCCUCCCUUGUUCUUAAUGGUAAUUUUUGACUUGAAUCCUGACAAGGGAUGUUACUGAGAUGUUUUUGAAGAGUUUCAAAAUUUUAGAAAAGAGUUCGGGGUCAUUUAUGGACCUCGAGAUAGUGAGCCUCAGUGAUAGGGGUGUAACGCUACCUAUGCCCUGUGAUAAGAGCAUGGCACAUGAUAAGGGUAUGGAACACUUCCUACGCCCCGCGAUAAGGGUGUUCCACGCUGCUGGGCACAAAUUGCCCAACUUUUUUUUCCAAUUGAGGGCAAGGGAUUUUUGAUCCUUUUCCUCAUUACACAACAUAAAAUGUCUUCUAAUCCCUCAUAGCCAUUAGUUGUCAACUUUUAACAUUGCUAUUCUCCUCUCCAUCUCCCAAGUCAAGAAACUCAAGAUUUUCUCAAGAAUUUACUACUCCGGACUCUAAAUUCCACAUUCUCUCCACAUUCUUCCAAUUUUUAGGCAUGCUGAACACUCCGUAAUUUAAAUACUAUAAUAUUUCAUUCAUUCGAUUGUUAUUUAAGAGCUCUAGAAUAAUGGGUUUAAAUUAGGGUUUGAUAAUUGUCAUCACUAAUAUAAAAUAUUGAUUUUCUCUUCUUAUAAAUUAUUUAUAACCACUUGUGGUGGGUUUUGGAUUUUUGAAUAACAUUUUUGAAAGGAUGCAUUGCAUUAUAUAAGUAUUGAAACAUUUAAUUUCAAGGAUGAUUGAACUCAUGAUUUUUCAAGCCCUUUGAAAAAUAUUUGAAUUGAGAUGCUAAACAAAGAUGACACCCUAUCUUUUUGAGAUAUUAAAAGUGUUAAACUUUAUGAAUGCUUUGAGGUUUUUAUGCUAUUUAAUAAUUAUUAUGAGCAUGAUUUUUGAAUGAAGGGGUUAAAGAGUCAUAACUAUUUUAAGAUAAUGGUUCUUGGCAUGAUAUGAAUGGUUUGUAAGUCUUGGUAUGAUGAUACCAGUAUGAAUAUGCCCUAAUGAAUGAUUCCAUGAUAAAUGUUAUGUGCAAACUGUUUUAAUUAGGAUCUAAAGGGAAUUAUAUAGUUCAACGUGAAGAUGUAAGUCUUUAUGACCAACGCCUAAAACCUAUGUUUGACGGAAUAGAGAUGUCGUACCUUAAUUGGAUGAUCAGAUUAUGUCCUUAACAUAAGGAUAAUAUAAAUAGUGUCUUUAGUCUACUUGUAAAUUAGCCUAACCUCGGUAUAUAUGACCAACACGAACUGGGGCCCCGUCGGUGGUGGAGCACCGAACUCUUAUAGCUGUGGGUUACUAGAUGACCCAUACUACCAAUGAGUCACUAGAUGAUUAUGAGAGCUAUAUGGUUCAUGAUUAAAGUAAAGGUUCAUGUAACAUGUCCCUUAUCCCUACCCAGUCAUCCUUUUAUGCACAUAGACCUGAUUUGCAUAUAGUUUAUAACUGGUUUUGUUAAAUGCAUAUAUGUUUUAUCCCUUUUCAUAUAUUGUAUGCAGUAGUACUGACUUGUAAGACCCCAAAAAAUACUAAGCUUGACUCCAUCCAUUUUUAGCUAAGGUCCCAGUCUUAAAUUUUUUAGCUAAGUAUCAAGACUUAGAAUCAUUUUAAGGUUCCAAAUUGGGAGAAUUUUAUUUCCGACCUUCCCGACCUUUGUUUGUUGAUUUUUAAGUUGAUUCAUGAUCGGAAAAGUCAAUAGUACAUCUUGGGUGAGUUUUAGAAUUUUUGAACAUGCGUAAAGGCAUGUUUGGUAUGUUGAAACAGUAGCUCAGGGCGACGGUACCUAGGUGUAGUCCAGAUGGGCAAGGUGGUGCCCUGCAUAGAGAGGUACUCCAGGGACCGUGGCGCCUUGUCCAGUCCGACUGGGGUAAUUCUAUAGUCUAGCUCCAAAAUCUUAAGGGCAAAAAGGUCAAUUCCCUUUACCCGUAUUUAGCCAAAACACGAGAUUUAGCACCAAAACACCAAAAUAUACUUACUUUUUCUCAAAUUCUCUCAAGAACAAGCCUUAGGGUUUUCAAUUGAGGAUUCAAAGCUUACAGAUUUCACCGUCAAUCAUCUCAAAAUCAAGCAACAAGGUAUGUUAAGUGUUCAUCCUUGGGUAUCCUUCCACCAUUGGAGUUCAAGAACUUUUUUUUUAAGAAUGAAUUAUGGAAUCCAUGUUAUGAAUUGAAUUGUGUGCAUGUUAAUGUUAUUGUACGGUUUCCAAGUAGAAAUCUUUGGUGGAUUCCUUGAAAUUAUGAUAGCAUGUAUGUUGAAUUUUGAUUCUCUUAAGUUGAAACCAUUAGAUUAUGAAUUAAUAUGGUAGUCAUGAUGUGUUAGCAUUGUUAUUUAUGCCCAAGAACAAGGUUAUGCUUCUAUGUGUUUGUCAAAAUGCCUAACUGAAUAAAUUGUGACCUUUUCUAUUGAUCUAAAUGAUGAACUUAUGCUAUAUCCUCAUGUUCAAAAUGACUCCCAUGAUAAAGCCAUGCCUUGAAAGUGUUUGUUGAAAUCCCUAUGUGGGUGAAAUAGUGCAAUUUUAUCAUGAUAACAUGUAAUCCCCAUUCAUGCUCAUGUUAAUGCAUUACAAGUGAUUGAUGAAAUGCCUUAGCAAGUAAAUUAUGAAUAUAUGGCCAUUGUUGUGAUUCAAGAAUUAUGUUAUGAUUUACUCUUUACGCUAUCGAGUCCUCAGGUAUUUAAUACCGGACAAUUUAGCAAUAUACCUAGAGCCAGUGUCAGUUAUAGAAUAAUAUCAGUCAUGUCACGAUCAGUAGUACUCUCAGUCAGUUACAAAGCUCAGGAAAGCUCAAUAAACUUAGUAUCAGUCCACUCUAGUUCAGUACUCAGUUCAGACCUCAGCUCAAUUCAGUUAAUCAGUACAAUCAGUAAUAGUUUAGUCUAGCCUAGUAUGAACUAGAAAAUCAGCUCAGUGUCUAUUCAAUUAGGAGUAGGAUUCAUCACCGAGUGAACCCAAGGAUGGGGACUCACCUACCAGUAGAGGGUGUGAUCCUUAGAAGCAAUCCUUGCAUUCCAAAACUACGUAUCCCGUGUAGGUUGAGACAUCAAACCUGCCAGACAAAGGUUGAUGAGGUGUUUUAACCUAUCACUUGAGGGUUCUACCAUUCUCAUUAGCGAACCUGCCAGAUGAGCGUAUCUCUUCACCCUUCCAACUAGGGUUACAGGUUGGACCCGAAAUCUAUUUAGAAAAGGGGCAUAUUAGUUAGAUGAUUACCUCCCACAGUCUCAGUUUCAGAUUCAAUUUUAGUAUAGAACUCAGAUAGUUCUACAGAAUCAGGAUUAUCUAAUACAGUCACACAACUCAGCAAAGAACUUAGAUAGUUCUUCAGAUUCAGGACUAUCAAAAAUAGUCACUCAGUAUCAGUAAUACAGUAUUAGUAAACACAGAUGUCAGUUAAUUAGUAUUUAGACUCAGUAUUCAGUAUUAUCACGAUCUCAGUUACAAUUUAUGUAUUCAUGCAUGUAUUUUUAUUCAGUCAUAUUUAUUUCAUUCAGUUAGUAUUGUUCAUGCAUAUGAAACCAUGCAUUUAGCCUAACUCACUUUUUUAUACCAGUAUAUUUAAAGUACUAACACAUACUUUUCUCUUGCACUAUGGUGUCUUAUAUCAUUGUUUCAGAUGCAAGGACUCCUGACCAUCCUUAGCAUCCCAUCUUAUCAACAGCAGACUUGUAGUGAAGUUAUCAUUUCAGUUAGUAGUAUUCAGUUUAUUUUUAGUAGUCAGAGUUAGUUGGGGACUUGUCCCAUCAACUCCACAGUUCAUAAAAUUUAGAGGUUUUUCAGGCUAUAGUUUCAGACAGAUGUUCAGUUUUUAGUAUUGAGGUUCAGUUUUGGUAUUAUUAUACCUUAUUUCAUUUUGUUAUAGUAUUGAAACUUAUGGAAAGUUUCUAUCUUUUUCCACAUUUAUCUCAGUUAUAUUGUUAUUACAGUAUUACUAUUGUUUAGUGCUCACAGCAAGUACAAGUCAUGGGUUAGCUAGUGGUCCUUUGGGAUUGUUAGCACCGUGUAGCAUUCAGGGUACAAACUCGGGGCAUUACAAACUUAGUAUUAGAGAUUAAGGUUCAACAGUGUCCUAGGAAGUCUAAAAGCCGCAUCUAUUAGAGUUUUGUGCAUAGGUGUAUUGGACGCCACACUUAUGGAAAGGAGGCUACGAGAUGUUUUAGAAAUAGUUUCCCUUAUUUCAGUAUUCACGUCAUGCGAAUGAGCAUGAGCUCAAGUUGAACUUUCAGUCUAAUCUAUUUUUUCCCUUUGUUUACAGAACAUGCCUCCCAAGAAAGGUAAUGGAAGGAGAAUUGGAAAUCAGUCAACAACUCAACCCGUUCAGGCAAAUCCCCUAGAUGAACACGUCUCACAUGCAGAAUUUAGAGUUGCAUUUACUACUCUAGCUAAUUUAGGUUUUGCUUAGAAUGAAUGCCCAACUACUAUUUUGGCCAACCCAGUGGCCAAUACUACUGUAGCCAGGAUUCGGGACUUCACCCGAAUGAACCCUCCAUCUUUUAUCAGGUCUAAGUCAGAUGAGGACCCUCAGGAAUUCCUUGAUUAGGUAUAGAAGGUUAUAGAUAUUAUGGGGCUAACAUCUACUGAGAGUGCUAAGCUAGCUAUAUAUUAGUUGCAAGAUAUGGCUCACUCAUGGUUCAAAUAGUGGAAAGAAGAGAGGGUCGUAGAUGCAGGGCCCAUAGAAUGGGAGAAGUUUUCCACUUAUUUUCUGGAUAGAUUCUUUCCCCUUUAGAUGAGAGAAGCUAAGGUGUUAGAAUUUAUCAACCUCAAGCAGGGAAACAUGACAGUGAAAGAAUAUUCUCUCAAGUUUACUCAGCUAGCUAGAUACGCUUCUUAUAUAGUGGCAGAUAACAGAUCUAAGAUGAGUAAAUUUAUAUCUAGGGUGAAUGAUAGUCUGGUCUAGGAGUGCAGGACCAUAAUGAUUAUUAGUGAGAUGGACCUAGCUAGGUUGAUAGUCCAUGCUCAGUAGAUAGAGGAGCAAAAAAAUAAGGAGAGAGAAGCAGAAUAAGAGAGCCAGAACAGGUAGUUUUAAAUUUGCUCAACCUAAGUCAUAGGGUGGGAAUUGUUCUUAGUUCCAUCCUAAAUCUUUAGUUCCAGGUCCAUCCUCAGUCAGUGCCCCAGUUCCAAAAUUCAGAGAUGGCAAUAGAGAUAGGGCGUUAGGCCCUAAACCUUAGGUUAGUGUUAGCAGUGCCUAAACCAAUCCUAUAUGUCAGCAGUGUGGCAAAAAUCACCAGGGUAUGUACAUAGUGGGCAAUGAUGUGUGUUUUGAAUAUGGCAAGCUAGGCCACAGAAUCGGAGAUUAUCCCCAGUCAGGUUCUUAAGGUCAACAUAACCGUCUUCCAGCUCAGUUUGGUCGUCUGAAUUAGUAGGGUGCCUCAUCCAGUGCCACUAGUAGGCAACGCCAAAACAGACUUUAUGCUCUUCAGUCCCGACAAGAUCAGUAAAAUUCUUCUGAUGUGAUCACUGGUACGUUACAAGUUUACCAUUUACAUGUUUAUGCUUUGUUAGAUCUAGGAGCUUUCUUGUAUUUUUUACUCCUUAUAUAGCUGUUGAUUUCAGAGUCAGUCCCAAAAUCCUAGUAGAGCCUUUCUCAGUAUCUACCUAGUGGGUAAAUCUAUCAUAUCCCAAUGGGUAUACAAGAACUAUCCAGUUAUGGUAUCUCAAAAAGUCACAUAAGCAGACUUAGUCGAAUUAAAGAUGACCGAUUUUGAUGUCAUUCUCAUUAUGGAUUGGCUUUAUUCUCGAUAUGCCUUAGUCAACUGCAAAAACAAAAUAGUCCAGUUUCAGUUCCCAAAUGAACCUAUCCUAGAGUGGAGGGGUAGUAUUUUAGCACUUAGGGGUCAGCUUGUUUCUUACCUUUGGGCGAGAAAAAUGAUAUCUAAGGGAUAUGUCUACCAUCUAGUUUGAGUCCAGAACUCUAACUCAGAAACCCCUAAUCUUGAAUCAGUGUCAGUAGCAUGUGAAUUCCUAGAUGUGUUUCCCAAAGAUCUUCUAAGAGUUCCUCCAGAAAGGGAAAUUGAAUAACACAUAUUCGAACAUACCAAACACGCAAAUUAUUCAGGAUUACGUAAAAUUGAGAGGAGCAAGGAUAGAAUUGAACCUUCCGAAUAUCGAUUUUUCGUUGAUAAUAAUAUUUAAGAAAACCCGAAUCCAAAGGCCUUAAUGCUGCUUUCAAGUAUUAUUCUGAUUAAAUCUGGUAGAGCCCGUGCCGAUGAACCUCGAAUCAACAAUCUCCAACCCGAACGUCGACUAACCGAAUUUCGAACCAACAGCGACGACAAGACAAGACGGAGCCCCCAACCCGAACAUGGACCAACCGGAUUUUUCCAACCAACAACGACGAUAAGACAAGACAGAAACCCCAACCCGAAUGUCGACUAACCGAAUUUUGAACCAACAACGACGAUAAACAAAAGGAACCCUAACCCGAACAUCAACUAACUGGAUUUCGAACCAACAACGACGAUAAACAAGACGGAACCCCAACCCGAACAUCCACUAACCUUGCGAAUGAAAGAAGCAGCAACCUGAACUCUCGGAUAAAAAAUAAACCUCAACAAACGGCUAAACCAACUCGGAGUUAAACAUCUAUGACUGGGACUCCGGCGACGAAAGACGAUGACACAAGUCCGGUUCAGCUGACUUUACUGUUUCGAACUGUGAUUAUUAUUUAAUCGUACUUUUGAUUUCAAACCGAACAGCUGACCGGAGCUCACGACCUGGACCUCAUCGGAACCUCAAAUCGGAAUCUGUGAAUCUAAAAUGGUCAACCCAAACUCGAUUAGUACCGAGAACGGAGCUGUUCUAGUUUUUCGGUAGAUAUAAGUCGAUUACAGCGAGAAGCUAGGUUGCCGGUUUUAAUGGAUUUUACGGCGCCUCUCCGAUCACUAUUCCCCAAAUCCCGAUUUCUCUCUCUGUUUUUGCUACUCUGUUUUCUUCGUCUCUCCCUACUUUUGCUACUCUGUUUUCUACGUCUUCCUCUCUCUAAAUCAACCCCCCAAUUUCUUGUUUUCCGAUCACCACCGACCCCUACUGCGUGCGUGUGUGUGAGGAACGUUUGUCGUGUAAAUGGUGAGGGUGAGGGUCGAUCGGAGGAAAGGAAGAAGAUGAGUGUGUGUAUUGUGUAUAUUAAUGGUGAUGAGAGGUUCGGUUUUUUUGUGGAGAAGAAAAGAAAAAUUUUGAGAAGUGCUGUAUAUCUUCUCUGUGAAGAGAAUGAAGCUUUUUGUUUUUUUAUCUCCCAAAAAUGGUUUCCGUCUCUCUCUGCUUGCCCCUUUUUUUGUGAGAGUAUGUGUGUAUAUAUUGUGAGGGUGGGUAGUGGUGAGGUAGGGUAGGUGGGGUCACGUGGGUAGGGGGUAGGAGGUAGGGUGUGGGGUGGUGAGGUGGUUUAUUUUGAUUCGGUAGGUUGUUAGGAUAAGAUAGAAUUAGUUAGGAUAGGUUUUGUUAGGGAUUUUGUUAUUUUAUUUUAUAUAUAUNNNNNNNNNNNNNNNNNNNNNNNNNNNNNNNNNNNNNNNNNNNNNNNNNNNNNNNNNNNNNNNNNNNNNNNNNNNNNNNNNNNNNNNNNNNNNNNNNNNNNNNNNNNNNNNNNNNNNNNNNNNNNNNNNNNNNNNNNNNNNNNNNNNNNNNNNNNNNNNNNNNNNNNNNNNNNNNNNNNNNNNNNNNNNNNNNNNNNNNNNNNNNNNNNNNNNNNNNNNNNNNNNNNNNNNNNNNNNNNNNNNNNNNNNNNNNNNNNNNNNNNNNNNNNNNNNNNNNNNNNNNNNNNNNNNNNNNNNNNNNNNNNNNNNNNNNNNNNNNNNNNNNNNNNNNNNNNNNNNNNNNNNNNNNNNNNNNNNNNNNNNNNNNNNNNNNNNNNNNNNNNNNNNNNNNNNNNNNNNNNUAUAUAUAUAUAUAUAUAUAUAUAUAUAUAUUUGUAUUUUGUGAGGGUAUAAUAACAUGGGUGAGGGUACACGGUAGGAUAAAAUAAGAAUGAGUAAAAACGACAUUGGAAGGGACGAAAUUAGGUGUCUACAUCGAUAAAGGAGAAAAAUAUAUAUCAUAUUUUAAUUUUACAAGUUAUAGUUCACUUUUGAUACAUGUUAGCUUUACACCUUAUAGUCUAAUUUGUUUUCGAGAUUGUAGAGUCAAGUUAGGACAUUAUAUAUAAGAGUCUUAAUUCAAUCAUUAGUCUUUAUUUUUUUUAUCUAGUGUGACAAUAUUAUUUGAUUGCAAACAUUUAUAAAACUAGAUAAUAGGUAUCUAGCAUAGUAGAUUUACAUUAAUUAGUCAUGCGUGUGCUUUUAAUCCUCCUAGCAAGAAAUAAAAAGAAUUCAUACUAGAGAUCAAAUGUUAGUCACAGAUAAAUCAAAAGCAAACAUAACUUACAACUGAUCCAUCCUUUGAGGCAUUUCCCAUUCCCUCCUUCAAGCGAUGAGCACGGACUUGGCCCUCAAGAUCACUAGUCUGUACAUAUAAUAGUAAAAGAACAAUGUUAAGUUUAGUGUUUUUCCAAGACUUCAUUUGGAUAACUAAUAUAUAUAUAUAUAUGUAUGUAUAUGUACCUUAUGGAUUUGGGAUUUCCAAGAUUGUGUCAAAGGCUGAAUUUUUUCGGCUUGAUCAUCAAAAGGAAGCAAAUUCAUUCAAUCUUGAGAGUGAAUUUUUCUCUUCUGCAAUUGUUGUUCUUGAUUUGCCAUAUUCAUUUAUGUAUUUGAUGUGUUGUUGGGUUUGUUUGUACUUUGUAUGUUCUUCAAACUGUUUCUUCACUUUUUCAACUUCCUGUCUUCCUUCACCACUUGGUCCAUUUAGAAUUCCUUCAAAUUUUGUGUGUUUUAG
This 40281-nucleotide long non-coding RNA is filed under the name Capsicum annuum. RNAcentral describes it as "long non-coding RNA (CANN_LNC005910)". The record is from RNAcentral. Lineage: Eukaryota; Viridiplantae; Streptophyta; Magnoliopsida; Solanales; Solanaceae.